CCCGCACAAGCGGUGGAGCAUGUGGUUUAAUUCGACGCAACGCGAAGAACCUUACCAGGACUUGACAUCCCCUGACAACCUAUGAAAGUAGGUCUUCUGCCUUCGGGUAGACAGGGGAGACAGGUGGUGCAUGGUUGUCGUCAGCUCGUGUCGUGAGAUGUUGGGUUAAGUCCCGCAACGAGCGCAACCCUUACGGUUAGUUGCCAGCGGUUAAAGCCGGGCACUCUAGCUGAACUGCCGUUGACAAAACGGAGGAAGGUGGGGAUGACGUCAAAUCAUCAUGCCCCUUAUGACCUGGGCUACAAACGUGAUACAAUGGCUGGAACAAAGGGAGGCGAAGGGGUGACCUGGAGCGAAACCCAAAAUACAGUCUCAGUUCGGAUUGAAGUCUGCAACUCGACUUCAUGAAGUCGGAAUCGCUAGUAAUCGCGGAUCAGAACGCCGCGGUGAAUACGUUCUCGGGGUUU
This 467-nucleotide ribosomal RNA is filed under the name uncultured Desulfotomaculum sp. RNAcentral's name for it is "bacterial SSU rRNA". It matches the Rfam family "Bacterial small subunit ribosomal RNA", at positions 920 to 1382 of the family's 1533-position model. The record is from RNAcentral. Lineage: Bacteria; Bacillati; Bacillota; Clostridia; Eubacteriales; Desulfotomaculaceae.